This 471-nucleotide long non-coding RNA is filed under the name Homo sapiens (human). Its description in RNAcentral is "HSALNT0363690". The record is from RNAcentral. Lineage: Eukaryota; Metazoa; Chordata; Mammalia; Primates; Hominidae.
GCUGUCGUCCACGCCGCGGUAGAAAAGCGGAUGGGCAUAUGCGUCAGGGAUGUUCAGGAUCUGGCCCGUGGUCGCCACGUGUCCCGCGAUGCCCUGAUCGGCCGGGAUGCGGAUCUCAUAGCUCUGCCGGAGCAGAGAUGGAGUCGAGAGGAAGAAGUUAGUGACCCGGCCACAGAGGGGACUGUUAAACCUCGGGCCGCUCCCCAGCGCCGCCGGCGGACUCCCGGACACCCCUAGGGCCACAUACUCCCUCCACACCCUCUCACCUCAUCAUCCACCACGCCCCCGUCGAACACCUUGGCCACCAGCUCAUUCUGAUCCAGCAGGAACACAGAGCAGCUGUGGAGGGAGGGGUUUGGUCCUCUGGGGCCUGACAACCCCCUCUGAUCGCCCUCACGUCCCAUAAGGAGGCAAAGGCCGGAUUUCCGAGGCCUGGGAGGAGUGCUCCAAGGCACACCUCCAGCCUUGGGG